CAAAUGCUUUUCUCCGUUCUCUCCAUAAACCCACCGCCUCAUGUAACUUUCUUCUCACAAAGGAAGAGGGUGAAGCUAGUAGAUGUGUCGCUGUUGUCGGUCCAGAAAGAAAUCACGACGGGCGAUGAAGACGAUGAUCGAUCGGCUUCCGAUAUUGACUCUGAGUCGGGAUCGGAGUCGGGGUCGGGGGAAAUCAGUGUGUUCUUCAGAUGAUGUGACCGUCAUAGAAGACACCACCAUCGCCUUCUGCUUCUCAGGUAUCGAAUCAACCUCAAAUAGAUUUAAUUCUCAGACGUAUAGAGGUUAUAAGGUAUUGAUGCAUCAUCGGUGUCGUCCAGGAAGAUUCCGCCGGCUUCUUCGAUGUUAUGGGACCGUAACCUCCGUCAUUUCAUCGAAUAUGGUGUUUGUCUUAGCUCUGAAGGUUUAAUGGGAUUUUGAAAUCCCCAGUGUUGGUGGUAGAGCACAACACACCGCCUCCCUUCUUUCAAUCAGAUGGUGUUCUGCUGCUCGCUUCCUUUUCUUCCGCGUCCGGUUUUUUAAUCUCGGAUCAGGUGGAGUUUGAAAGAUUACACGCCAAGUGUUCGAUGAAAGUACUCAAAUACGUCAACUGUUGUUGUGGGUUGAAGAACAACCAUAGUGUUGACUACAACUAAAAACAUACAAAAAGGUAGUCAUAUGGUU
This is a non-coding RNA of Lactuca sativa (garden lettuce), 681 nucleotides long. Lineage: Eukaryota; Viridiplantae; Streptophyta; Magnoliopsida; Asterales; Asteraceae. The record is from RefSeq and is a predicted model, not a curated record.